GACGAACGCUGGCGGCGUGCUUAACACAUGCAAGUCGAACGGAAAGGCCUUUUCGGAGGUACUCGAGUGGCGGACGGGUGAGUAACACGUGGGUGAUCUGCCCUGCACUCUGGGAUAAGCCUGGGAAACUGGGUCUAAUACCGGAUAGGACCGCACUUUAGUGUGUGUGGUGGAAAGUUUUUUCGGUGUAGGAUGAGCCCGCGGCCUAUCAGCUUGUUGGUGGGGUAAUGGCCUACCAAGGCGGCGACGGGUAGCCGGACUGAGAGGUUGGUCGGCCACAUUGGGACUGAGAUACGGCCCAGACUCCUACGGGAGGCAGCAGUGGGGAAUAUUGCACAAUGGGCGCAAGCCUGAUGCAGCGACGCCGCGUGGGGGAUGACGGCCUUCGGGUUGUAAACUCCUUUCGCCAGGGACGAAGCGUUUUGUGACGGUACCUGGAGAAGAAGCACCGGCUAACUACGUG
This 463-nucleotide ribosomal RNA is filed under the name uncultured bacterium. RNAcentral describes it as "partial 16S ribosomal RNA". It matches the Rfam family "Bacterial small subunit ribosomal RNA", at positions 28 to 507 of the family's 1533-position model. The record is from RNAcentral.